GCUGGGCAUGGUGGUGCGUGCCUGUAAUCCCAGCUACUCAGGAGGCUGAGGCAGGAGAAUUGUCUGAACCCAGGAGGCGGAGGUUGCGGUGAGCCGAGAUCACGCCAUUGCACUCCAGCCUGGGUAACAAGAGUGGAACUCCAUCUCAAAAAAAAAAAAGACAGAGUCUCGCUCUGUCACCCAGGCUGGAGUGCAAUGGUACAAUCUUGGCUCACUGCAACCUCCACCUCCCUGGUUCAAGUGAUUCUGCUGCCUCA
This 257-nucleotide small RNA is filed under the name Saimiri boliviensis boliviensis (Bolivian squirrel monkey). RNAcentral describes it as "Metazoan signal recognition particle RNA (ENSSBOG00000001669.1)". Lineage: Eukaryota; Metazoa; Chordata; Mammalia; Primates; Cebidae. The record is from RNAcentral.